RNAcentral lists this ribosomal RNA (348 nucleotides) under uncultured bacterium. Its description in RNAcentral is "partial 16S ribosomal RNA". It matches the Rfam family "Bacterial small subunit ribosomal RNA", at positions 338 to 703 of the family's 1533-position model. The record is from RNAcentral.
CCUACGGGUGACAGCAGUGGGGGAUAUUGCACAAUGGGGGAAACCCUGAUGCAGCGACGCCGCGUGAGUGAAGAAGUAUUUCGGGAUGUAAAGCUCUAUCAGCAGGGAAGAAAAUGACAGUACCUGACCAAGAAGCCCCGGCUAACUACGUGCCAGCAGCCGCGGUAAUACGGAGGGGGCAAGCGUUAUCCGGAUUUACUGGGUGUAAAGGGAGCGUAGACGGUUCUGUAAGUCUGGAGGGAAAGCCCGGGGCCCAACCCCGGGACGGCUUUGGAAACUGGGUAACUGGAGGACAGGAGGGGCAGGCGGCAUUCCUUGUUUAGCGGUGACAUGCGUAGAUCUCAGGAG